AUUCAUUUGGAGAUGCGGGGUAUCGAUCCCCGUACCUCUCGCAUGCUAAGCGAGCGCUCUACCAUCUGAGCUACAUCCCCUUGUACUUUCUGGCUCUUCUGCGUGAUCAAUCUGACACGAUAUGCAGCCUCUGAUUACCGUUCAUUGACGCCAGAGGAUUUUCCGGGGAAUCUCUCAUACUCUAUGCGGUCAUCUUUGAACUCUCGCAUCUGUUUAGCGAAUCCAUUUUCUGCUUCCGCUCAAUCAGUAUUAUUCACCUACUUUUGAGCUCUGGACUGCUUCAGGUCUUGCUUGCUAUUGCUAAGUUCAAGCAAAUGAUUUGCUACCCAACAACGCCUAAGAAAUGGGCAAUCCUGGCAGGAGGCUUCAGCAUCGGAUGUGCCCUUUUUGGUAUUGGUUUGCAUCUGUCAUAUGUCAAUAUUGCACCUCAACAAGCCCGACUCAAAGCUCGGAAUGAUUUUGUAAGAGAACGCCUAAGAAGACGACAUGGAAAACCAUAGAAAGCUGUUUACUGUCUUGGGCACUAUUUUGGUGACAUUUAGAAGAGCCCUCAUUCUCUCUCCUAUUUGGAAUGUAGGGAUGCUAACUGCUUGAUUUGGUUAUAGUUUUCUUGCUUGUGUGCUUGGUACGUUGCUUUGAAGAGUUGGCAAGGCUGUUCUGUAAUAUCUUCUGGAAACAAUUUUUACUGGAAGUUCAUGGUUGUGAGACUGACAUUGCUUUUGGUUACAUAGAUGUCUGUUAUUCUUGAAAAAAUCAUCCCCCUACUCUUGGGGAUGCUAUUUUUAUUCUCCUUCCGAUGAUUACACAGAUGAAUUGUGCUCAGUUAAUCCAAUUAUUGGGGUGUGCGGUUGGAUUCCAA
This is a long non-coding RNA of Tripterygium wilfordii, 859 nucleotides long. RefSeq lists it as uncharacterized. Lineage: Eukaryota; Viridiplantae; Streptophyta; Magnoliopsida; Celastrales; Celastraceae. The record is from RefSeq and is a predicted model, not a curated record. The transcript is spliced from 3 exons.